This 427-nucleotide ribosomal RNA is filed under the name uncultured bacterium. RNAcentral's name for it is "bacterial SSU rRNA". It matches the Rfam family "Bacterial small subunit ribosomal RNA", at positions 85 to 509 of the family's 1533-position model. The record is from RNAcentral.
GUGCCGGCGAGUGGCGAACGGGUGAGUAAUGCAUCGGAACGUGUCCUGUCGUGGGGGAGUAACUGGCCGAAAGGUCAGCUAAUACCGCAUGAGACCCGAGGGUGAAAGCGGGGAUCGCAAGACCUCGCGCGACUGGAGCGGCCGAUGUCUGAUUAGCUGGUUGGUGGGGUAAAAGCUUACCAAGGCGACGAUCAGUAGCUGGUCUGAGAGGAUGAUCAGCCACAUUGGGACUGAGACACGGCCCAGACUCCUACGGGAGGCAGCAGUGGGGAAUUUUGGACAAUGGGGAAACCCUGAUCCAGCCAUGCCGCGUGCGGGAUGAAGGCCUUCGGGUUGUAAACCGCUUUUGUCAGAGACGAAAAGGGACCUGUGAACAACAGGUUCCGCUGACGGUAUCUGAAGAAUAAGCACCGGCUAACUACGUGCC